GAGGAUGUGGCUCAGCGGUAGAGCACUUGCCUCGCACGUGCAAGGCCCUGGGUUCAAUCCUCAGCACCACA
RNAcentral lists this transfer RNA (71 nucleotides) under Marmota monax (woodchuck). Its description in RNAcentral is "tRNA.Ala". The record is from RNAcentral. Lineage: Eukaryota; Metazoa; Chordata; Mammalia; Rodentia; Sciuridae.